This 443-nucleotide ribosomal RNA is filed under the name uncultured bacterium. Its description in RNAcentral is "bacterial SSU rRNA". It matches the Rfam family "Bacterial small subunit ribosomal RNA", at positions 18 to 507 of the family's 1533-position model. The record is from RNAcentral.
CCUGGCUCAGAACGAACGCUGGCGGCAUGCCUAACACAUGCAAGUCGAACGAAGCCUUCGGGCUUAGUGGCGCACGGGUGCGUAACACGUGGGAAUCUGCCCUUCGGUUCGGAAUAACAGUUAGAAAUGACUGCUAAUACCGGAUGAUGACGAAAGUCCAAAGAUUUAUCGCCGAAGGAUGAGCCCGCGUAGGAUUAGGUAGUUGGUAGGGUAAUGGCCUACCAAGCCGACGAUCCUUAGCUGGUCUGAGAGGAUGAUCAGCCACACUGGGACUGAGACACGGCCCAGACUCCUACGGGAGGCAGCAGUGGGGAAUAUUGGACAAUGGGCGAAAGCCUGAUCCAGCAAUGCCGCGUGAGUGAUGAAGGCCUUAGGGUUGUAAAGCUCUUUUACCAGGGAUGAUAAUGGCAGUACCUGGAGAAUAAGCUCCGGCUAACUCCGUG